RNAcentral lists this ribosomal RNA (120 nucleotides) under Aspergillus oryzae. Lineage: Eukaryota; Fungi; Ascomycota; Eurotiomycetes; Eurotiales; Aspergillaceae. The record is from RNAcentral.
ACAUACGACCAUAGGGUGUGGAAAACAGGGCUUCCCGUCCGCUCAGCCGUACUUAAGCCACACGCCGGGAGGUUAGUAGUUGGGUGGGUGACCACCAACGAAUCCCUCCUGUUGUAUGUU